GCAUCGAUGAAGAACGCAGCGAAAUGCGAUAAGUAAUGUGAAUUGCAGAAUUCAGUGAAUCAUCGAAUCUUUGAACGCACCUUGCGCUCCAUGGUAUUCCGUGGAGCAUGCCUGUUUGAGUGUCAUGAAUACUUCAACCCUCCUCUUUCUUAAUGAUUGAAGAGGUGUUUGGUUUCUGAGCGCUGCUGGCCUUUACGGUCUAGCUCGUUCGUAAUGCAUUAGCAUCCGCAAUCGAAUUUCGGAUUGACUUGGCGUAAUAGACUAUUCGCUGAGGAAUUCUAGUCUUCGGAUUAGAGCCGGGUUGGGUUAAAGGGAGCUUCUAAUCAGAAUGUCUACAUUUUAAGAUUAGAUCUCAAAUCAGGUAGGACUACCCGCUGAACUUAAGCAUAUCAAUAAGCGGAGGA
This 404-nucleotide ribosomal RNA is filed under the name uncultured fungus. Its description in RNAcentral is "eukaryotic LSU rRNA". The stretch from base 1 to 125 matches the Rfam family "5.8S ribosomal RNA", at positions 30 to 154 of the family's 154-position model. Lineage: Eukaryota; Fungi. The record is from RNAcentral.